Molecule: ribosomal RNA, 254 nt
Filed under: uncultured bacterium
Lineage: Bacteria
Description: partial 16S ribosomal RNA
Rfam family: Bacterial small subunit ribosomal RNA
Source: RNAcentral
UACGUAGGGUGCGAGCGUUGUCCGGAAUUAUUGGGCGUAAAGAGCUCGUAGGCGGCCCGGCACGUCCGUCGCUGAAAUCCCCCGGCUCAACCGGGGAAGGGGCGCGGAUACGACCGGGCUGGAGGGGGGUAGGGGGAGCCGGAACUUCCGGUGGAGCGGUGAAAUGCGUUGAGAUCGGAAGGAACGCCCGUGGCGAAAGCGGGCUCCUGGACCCCACCUGACGCUGAGACGCGAAAGCCAGGGGAGCGAACGGG